Molecule: ribosomal RNA, 378 nt
Filed under: uncultured Cryptophyta
Lineage: Eukaryota; Cryptophyceae
Description: partial small subunit ribosomal RNA
Rfam family: Eukaryotic small subunit ribosomal RNA
Source: RNAcentral
GCUUGUCUCAAAGAUUAAGCCAUGCAUGUCUAAGUGUAAAUAAGUCUAUACUGUGAAACUGCGAAUGGCUCAUUAAAUCAGUUAUCGUUUAUUUGAUGGUCCCUUACUACAUGGAUAACCGUAGUAAUUCUAGAGCUAAUACAUGCACAAAGGCCCGACUCACGGAGGGCUGUAUUUAUUAGAUUCAAACCAACACUUUUUGGUGAUUCAUAAUAACUCGCGGAUCGGUUUACCGAUGCAUCAUUCAAGUUUCUGCCCUAUCAGCUUUGGAUGGUAGGGUAUUGGCCUACCAUGGCUUUAACGGGUAACGGAGAAUUAGGGUUCGAUUCCGGAGAGGGAGCCUGAGAAAUGGCUACCACAUCCAAGGAAGGCAGCAGG